ACGCUCGACACCUACGUGAGGCAGCAGUGGGGAAUAUUGCACAAUGGGGGAAACCCUGAUGCAGCGACGCCGCGUGAAGGAAGAAGUAUCUCGGUAUGUAAACUCCUAUCAGCAGGGAAGAAAAUGACGGUACCUGACUAAGAAGCCCCGGCUAACUACGUGCAAGCAGCCGCGGUAAUCUGAGCGGGCGUGGCAAGGC
Molecule: ribosomal RNA, 199 nt
Filed under: uncultured bacterium
Lineage: Bacteria
Description: partial 16S ribosomal RNA
Rfam family: Bacterial small subunit ribosomal RNA
Source: RNAcentral